CCUACGGGAGGCAGCAGUAGGGAAUAUUCCGCAAUGGGCGAAAGCCUGACGGAGCAAUACCUCGUGAGUGAUGAAGGCUUUAGGGUCGUAAAGCUCAGUCAGCAGGGAAGAAGGGUUAUGGUUCGAAUAGGGCUAUAGCUUUGACGGUACCUGCAGAGGAAGCCACGGCUAAUUACGUGCCAGCAGCCGCGGUAAUACGUAAGUGGCAAGCGUUGUCCGGAUUUACUGGGCGUAAAGAACGCGUAGGCGGUUUUCUAAGUUGGGGGUGAAAUCCUGAGGCCCAACCUCAGGCCUGCCUCCAAAACUGGAGAACUAGAGUUUCGGAGAGGAAGAUGGUAUUCCAUGUGUAGCGGUGAAAUGCGUAGAUAUAUGGGAGAACACCAAUGGCGAAAGCAGUCUUCUGGACGAAUACUGACGCUGAGGCGUGAAAGCGUGGGUAG
RNAcentral lists this ribosomal RNA (440 nucleotides) under uncultured bacterium. RNAcentral's name for it is "bacterial SSU rRNA". It matches the Rfam family "Bacterial small subunit ribosomal RNA", at positions 338 to 768 of the family's 1533-position model. The record is from RNAcentral.